GCGCGUCCUAGCUGAGUUAGACGGGUCCCAAGCUGAGGGCGAUGGGCGUAGGCGAUAGGUAAUAGGUUGGAAAUGCUGUACCGCCUAAAACCGUUUUUAUCGAUGGGGGGACGCAUUAGGAUAGGCGAAGCGGGCGAUUGGAUUGCACGUGUAAGCAGUAAGGCUGGGUGAUAGGGAAAGCCGGUAAUCGUUAAGGCGGGGCUGUGAUGGGGAGAAGACAUUGGGUCGACGACUCGUUGAUUUCACACUGACGAGAAAAGCCGCUAGAUAGAAAAUAGGUGCCCGUAACACAAACCGACACAGGUAGUCAAGAUGAGAAUUCUAAGGUGAGCUAGCGAACUCUCGUUAAGGAACUCGGCAAAAGGAACCCGUACCUUCGGGAGAAGGGGUGCUCUUUAGGGUUAACGCCCAGAAGAGCCGCAGUGAAUAGGCCCAAGCGACUGUUUAUCAAAAACAC
Molecule: ribosomal RNA, 457 nt
Filed under: Staphylococcus aureus
Lineage: Bacteria; Bacillati; Bacillota; Bacilli; Caryophanales; Staphylococcaceae
Description: bacterial LSU rRNA
Rfam family: Bacterial large subunit ribosomal RNA
Source: RNAcentral